Molecule: ribosomal RNA, 469 nt
Filed under: uncultured bacterium
Lineage: Bacteria
Description: partial 16S ribosomal RNA
Rfam family: Bacterial small subunit ribosomal RNA
Source: RNAcentral
GACGAACGCUGGCGGCGUGCUUAACACAUGCAAGUCGAACGGAAAGGCCCUGCUUGCAGGGUGCUCGAGUGGCGAACGGGUGAGUAACACGUGGGUGAUCUGCCCCUUACUUUGGGAUAAGCCUUGGAAACUGGGUCUAAUACUGGAUAGGACCAUGCUGUAGGUGGUGUGGUGGAAAGAUUAUUUUCGGUAAGGGAUGAGCUCGCGGCCUAUCAGCUUGUUGGUGGGGUAAUGGCCUACCAAGGCGUCGACGGGUAGCCGGCCGGAGAGGGUGGACGGCCACAUUGGGACUGAGAAACGGCCCAGAAUCCUACGAGGGGCAGCAGUGGGGAGGAUUGCACAAUGGGCGCAGGCCUGAUGAAGCGACGCCGCGUGGGGGAUGACGGCCUUCGGGUGGUAAACUCCUUUCAGCCAUGACGAAGCCCUUGUGGUGACGGUAGUGGUAGAAGAAGCACCGGCUAACUACGUG